This is a long non-coding RNA of Xiphophorus couchianus (Monterrey platyfish), 2363 nucleotides long. RefSeq lists it as uncharacterized. NCBI's taxonomy places the organism in Eukaryota, Metazoa, Chordata, Actinopteri, Cyprinodontiformes, Poeciliidae. The record is from RefSeq and is a predicted model, not a curated record. The transcript is spliced from 3 exons.
UUUUUAUCCAUUAUAUUUUGAUAAUUCACAUAAAUUGUAAGUAAAAGUGUCUUGUUAUUGAGAUUUUAAUGUUUUUAUAGUUUCGGGUGUACUGUCUCCUGCUAUCCUUUUUUGGGUGCAGUCAGUAAGUUGCUGUUUUUAUUCUGCCCAACCUGCAUGUCUUGUGAGGGCGGACUGCCUGUCUUUGUCUCUUUUGUUUUGGUUGCCACUUCCAGUCGCCUCCCUUAAUGACACCAGAUGUCAUUUAUAACCUUAACGUUUAGGCGGACGGAGUAACUGGAUCCCAUUGCUGUAUGUGUGUGGGGCGGUGGACUUGGACUAGGACAGAGGACUGGGUUUGAUCUAGGACAGUCACAUCAAAAAUACUUUAUUGAUUCCAAAGAGGAAUUAAAUGUGGUAGCUCAUAUUAAUUCAGAUUGUUCAGAGUUACUGUAGAUGCUGGUGGCAGGAAGGAGCUCCUGUAGCAGUCUGUGUUACAGCAAAUCUGAAGAAGCCUCUGACUGAAGACACUCUGUUCUCCCAACAUGAUGGUCAGAAUUUACUUGGUUUCAUGAAGAAUCCUUCUUUGCAUCGAUAUCUCCAGAGGUGAGGAGAGGAGACAAACUUAGUUGAACCGGUUCGAACCGGUUCAGACCAGUUGAACCAGUUCAGACCAGUUGAACCUGUUCAUCACCAGUUUAAGCUGAGGGUCAGAGGAAGGUGGGAUGUCUGAACCGGUCUGAAUGUCUUCGGCUCUUUUGCUCCUUCCAGGCUUCCGUCCAUCUGAUCCUCCUUUUGCCUGAGAUCUUCCUGCAGUUUGUCCUCCAGGUUCUUCUUGUUCUUCUGUCUCUAAUCUGGACUGGAGCUGCUUCUGUUGCCCGUCUCCUUCCCUAAAGGCUCCACACAGAGCUUCAUGUCAGUCAUGGCCUCAUCUCCACGAGGCUGGCAGAGAGCGAUCCAAUCAGUUGCUUCAAACCAGCCUGCCGGGCCUCUUCAGCUCCCUGUCACCAUUUCAUAGCAGCCAUCUUCCCAGCAGGUCGUCUCUUCACCAGAGAUUCAUAUUCAGAGCAGAGAGGAACCAGAUCAUGGUCCCAUCUCCCCAGAGGAGGUUUUGGUUUGGAAACGUUAGCAUCCUUGACAUUAGCAUAAAACAAACAGGCCGGGACCUGGGCGGAGGACGGGUCAAACCGGUUAUUCAUUUUUAGCUAGCUCCACUGCACAGUCUCAGUUAGCUUACAGAAAGAGCGGAAAAUAAACUAAAGUAAAGUGACCAAUAGGAGUUAGGGUCAAGAGCGUAAAUCCCAUCUCAUUAUUGGGGGAACAUCAACAGGAACAUUUAAGACCAAUUCUGGCAAAGUUCCAGUGAAAUGUAACGUAAAAUCUAGCUUAAAAAGUUUUAAACUACAUUCAAGCUGCAGGACCAAAAAUGACUAGUAAAGCACAUCAAACAUGUUUUAUUAAACUGCCUGCAGAGAAAUGAAACUAAAAUUCAAAUGUUGCUUAGAAGUUUUUGUUCAGUCUGAUCUAAUUUCUGCUACACCUUUACAAACAUUUAAGGCUCUAAAUAAAAAAGCUUUAAUGAUUAACUGCUCUUAAUAAAGUUCAUCAUAAACAUUGAUUUAUUGAAUGGUUCUCAAUACAAGUUAUGGGCUAUUUAAAUUUGUUAAGUUGCUUUAUUUAUAAGCGUUUUUUUAGUUUGUCAUGUCCUGGAUGGCUGAGAACUAAUAAUUAGAUAGAAAUGAAUAUCUGGGGAAUAUCAUAAUUUAAACAUAACAUUUAAAGCACCAGGGUUUAUAUAGAAAAAUAUUUUGAUUUUAUUUUGUGGUUUUAAAGGCUCUACAUUGAAGACAGUGAGAAAUAAAAACAUAACUUUAGUUUUUUCUAUCUGUUCUGGGCUCCAACUCUGAGCUGCUUCACUUCCUCAGACCCUCCUCCAGUUUCAAACUCUUCUGAUUAACUAAAAGUUAAAGAGCUAAAUAUGAGUGAGAUGUUUGCUGCCUUUGACAAAAAAGGUCAAAGGUUAAAUCUAUGAAAGCAGUGUAGCAGUUUUGCUAAUAAGGCAGCUUAUGAUGAUUCAGUCAAAGUAAUGAAAUAACAAACUGCAGAAUGAUUUUUAUUGUUUAUGAGUUUAUUCUUAUUGAGCAGUGAAAGUAAAUAAAAUGUUUAUAUGUCUUUUGCUUGAAGUAUUUACUGACUGGAGGGUUUUUAUUUGUGCUGCAGAGCCACAGCUAGCAGCUAACAGCUAGCUAGCAGCUAACAGCUAGCUCCUCCCUCCAGCGGCUCUAACGGAGCCAGCUGUUGCUCCUCCCACACUUUGGACUGAACCAUUGUUCUAAUAAUGGGGGGGGGGGGGGACCUAAAAAUUAAUUAUUAUUUUUUUCUGA